This 450-nucleotide ribosomal RNA is filed under the name uncultured Glomus. RNAcentral's name for it is "SSU rRNA". It matches the Rfam family "Eukaryotic small subunit ribosomal RNA", at positions 569 to 1023 of the family's 1831-position model. The record is from RNAcentral. Lineage: Eukaryota; Fungi; Glomeromycota; Glomeromycetes; Glomerales; Glomeraceae.
AGCAGCCGCGGUAAUUCCAGCUCCAAUAGCGUAUAUUAAAGUUGUUGCAGUUAAAAAGCUCGUAGUUGAAUUUCGGGAUCAAUAUUUCGGUCAUGCCGUUGGUAUGCACUGUUAUCAUUGAUUUCUCACCUUCUAAAGAACCGUAAUGCCAUUAAUUUGGUGUUACGGGGAAUUAGGACUGUUACUUUGAAAAAUUAGAGUGUUUAAAGCAGGCUUUAGCUUGAAUACAUUAGCAUGGAAUAAUGAAAUAGGACGUUCGAACCUAUUUUGUUGGUUUCUAGGAUCAACGUAAUGAUUAAUAGGGAUAGUUGGGGGCAUUAGUAUUCAAUUGUCAGAGGUGAAAUUCUUGGAUUUAUUGAAGACUAACUACUGCGAAAGCAUUUGCCAAGGAUGUUUUCAUUAAUCAAGAACGAAAGUUAGGGGAUCGAAGACGAUCAGAUACCGUCGUAG